AGUUAAAGGACAUAACCGAUAACUAUGGGCCAAAGUCAUUGAUUGGUGAGGGUUCAUUUGGAAGAGUGUUUUACGGUAUUUCUCAAAAACGGCAAGGCAGCUGCCAUUAAGAAACUUGAUUCCAGUAAGCAACCGGAUAACGAAUUUCUCUCCCAGGUUUCAAUGGUUUCGAGAUUGCGAAACGACAAUGUUGUUGCUCUUCUGGGAUAUUGCGUUGAUGGACCACUCCGUGUUCUUGCUUAUGAAUAUGCUCCUAAUGGAUCUCUUCAUGAUAUCCUUCAUGGUAAAAAAGGUGUGAAAGG
Molecule: long non-coding RNA, 302 nt
Organism: Raphanus sativus (radish)
Lineage: Eukaryota; Viridiplantae; Streptophyta; Magnoliopsida; Brassicales; Brassicaceae
Exons: 3
Source: RefSeq, a predicted model, not a curated record